This 216-nucleotide ribosomal RNA is filed under the name uncultured bacterium. RNAcentral's name for it is "partial 16S ribosomal RNA". It matches the Rfam family "Bacterial small subunit ribosomal RNA", at positions 524 to 739 of the family's 1533-position model. The record is from RNAcentral.
UACGUAGGUGUCGAGCGUUGUCCGGAUUUAUUGGGCGUAAAGCGCCCGCAGGCGGCUUGGCAAGUUCGAGGUGAAAUCUCCCGGCUCAACUGGGAGGUGCCUCGGAAACUGCCAGGCUUGAGGCAGGGAGAGGGAUGUGGAAUUCCCGGUGUAGUGGUGAAAUGCGUAGAUAUCGGGAGGAACACCAGUGGCGAAGGCGGCAUCCGUGGCCCUGUC